UAUCCUAAUUCUAAGUUAAUAAUUUUUGUUGGCAGGACAGUUUAGUUGGGGCGACUACCUUUGAAUAAGAAACGAAGGCGAGCUUAUGGUAUUAUUAAAAUCUCAUUAGCCUGACAGUGAGGGGGACACUCCUAGCUGGCACAAGGACCACAUAUUAAUAUGGGGCUCCUAUGUGGGCGAUAGUGACCCGAUAUGAUUAUCCAAGAUAAAUAUCGAAAGCGGAUAAAAGCUACCGUAGGGAUAACAGCGUAAUAUUGUCGGAGAGUUCUUAUCGAGGACAGUGUUUGCGACCUCGAUGUUGAAUUGCGGUGCCCUGGUGCUGUAGAAGGUACCUUAGGUUGGUCUGUUCGACCAUGAAAACCGUACGUGAUCUGAGUUCAGACCGG
This 386-nucleotide ribosomal RNA is filed under the name Isididae sp. NHM_019. Its description in RNAcentral is "partial 16S ribosomal RNA". It matches the Rfam family "Bacterial large subunit ribosomal RNA", at positions 2212 to 2619 of the family's 2925-position model. Lineage: Eukaryota; Metazoa; Cnidaria; Anthozoa; Malacalcyonacea; Isididae. The record is from RNAcentral.